CCUACGGGUGGCAGCAGUGGGGAAUAUUGCACAAUGGGGGGAACCCUGAUGCAGCGACGCCGCGUGAGUGAAGAAGUAAUUCGGUAUGUAAAGCCCUAUCAGCAGGGAAGAAAAUGACGGUACCUGACUAAGAAGCCCCGGCUAACUACGUGCCAGCAGCCGCGGUAAUACGGAGGGGGCAAGCGUUAUCCGGAUUUACUGGGUGUAAAGGGAGCGUAGACGGCAGUGCAAGUCUGGUGUGAAAGGCCGGGGCUCAACCCCCGGACUGCUCUGGAAACUGGAAGGCUGGAGUGCAGGAGAGGUAAGUGGAAUUCCUAGUGUAGCGGUGAAAUGCGUAGAUAUUAGGAGGAACACCGGUGGCGAAGGCGGCUUACUGGACUGUAACUGACGUUGAGGCUCGAAAGCGUGGGGAGCAAACAGGAUUAGAUACCCGUGUAGUC
This 440-nucleotide ribosomal RNA is filed under the name uncultured bacterium. RNAcentral describes it as "partial 16S ribosomal RNA". It matches the Rfam family "Bacterial small subunit ribosomal RNA", at positions 338 to 795 of the family's 1533-position model. The record is from RNAcentral.